AUGGAUGCCGCAGGGCUUAGACCUAGCCUUAAAUGUGAAUCCAUCCCUGGAGUUGGAGUGUUAGGUAUCUCUUUUCUCUUUUGGCUCCUUUCCUUCUUCCAUUUUUUUUUCCCCUCCCUCCUUCUCCACUUUAUUCUUCCCCUUCCUUCCCAUUCCACUUCUCUCUUCACAAGAGCUGCAGGAUUUGGGUUCCAGUCUGAGAUGAGUUGGAAGGUGGGGAGGAGCCCUGCUGUCAGAACUCAGUUCCUGAGGCAGAUGGGAGCACUUUUUAAGAAGAUGGAAUUUUCUAACAACCAGAGCUAUCUCAAAAGUCAUAAGCUUCCUGCCCCUGGAAAUGUGCAAGCCGUGUCUGUCUGCAGAGCUGAAAUUCCUGCGUUCUCAGGAGGCUGGGCAAAUGCUAAGAUGGAGGUUCUGAAAUCUGAUUACUGCACCAAUCACUGUGGGAGAGAGUUAGUGAUAUAUCUACUCCCAGACCCGGAACUACACAGAAUCAAGAUCUAUUAAGGUGGGGCCCCAGAAUUUACAUUGUUUAACCCUCUCCAGGUGAAUCUCCUGAACAUAUUGCUCUACAUUCCCUUUUAAUCUGAGAUCCUAAUAAUAC
RNAcentral lists this long non-coding RNA (601 nucleotides) under Macaca mulatta (Rhesus monkey). RNAcentral describes it as "lncRNA (ENSMMUG00000053970.1)". The record is from RNAcentral. Lineage: Eukaryota; Metazoa; Chordata; Mammalia; Primates; Cercopithecidae.